Molecule: ribosomal RNA, 565 nt
Filed under: uncultured bacterium
Lineage: Bacteria
Description: partial 16S ribosomal RNA
Rfam family: Bacterial small subunit ribosomal RNA
Source: RNAcentral
UGGGGAAUUUUGGACAAUGGGCGAAAGCCUGAUCCAGCAAUGCCGCGUGUGUGAAGAAGGCCUUCGGGUUGUAAAGCACUUUUGUCCGGAAAGAAAUCCUUGGCUCUAAUACAGUCGGGGGAUGACGGUACCGGAAGAAUAAGCACCGGCUAACUACGUGCCAGCAGCCGCGGUAAUACGUGAGGGUGCAAGCGUUAAUCGGAAUUACUGGGCGUAAAGCGUGCGCAGGCGGUUUGCUAAGACCGAUGUGAAAUCCCCGGGCUCAACCUGGGAACUGCAUUGGUGACUGGCAGGCUAGAGUAUGGCAGAGGGGGGUAGAAUUCCACUGUAGCAGUGAAAUGCGUAGAGAUGUGGAGGAAUACCGAUGGCGAAGGCAGCCCCCCUGGGCCAAUACUGACGCUCAUGCACGAAAGCGUGGGGAGCAAACAGGAUUAGAUACCCUGGUAGUCCACGCCCUAAACGAUGUCAACUAGUUGUUGGGGAUUCAUUUCCUUAGUAACGUAGCUAACGCGUGAAGUUGACCGCCUGGGGAGUACGGUCGCAAGAUUAAAACUCAAAUGAAUUG